Suricata suricatta (meerkat) is the source of this 476-nucleotide long non-coding RNA. RefSeq lists it as uncharacterized. The transcript is spliced from 3 exons. The record is from RefSeq and is a predicted model, not a curated record. Lineage: Eukaryota; Metazoa; Chordata; Mammalia; Carnivora; Herpestidae.
UUCUGCAUUUGAACACACAUACAUCCUCCCAAGAUUAAAAACAUCCAAUGAAAAGGGAGAUUUUUGGAAAGAUUAUCAAGAUUGCCUUGACCUAUGGGCCACCUUCACAGAAUUUUUAUGUCCAGGCUUCCUGUGAUUUAAGAUACCUUUCACAGGAAGUACCUCCAUUUAUAAAAAUAAUGGCUUUCUCUGCAAUAUUCUAUCACAACCCAAUAUGAAGUGAUACAGUUUUCACAGCAAGAUCAGACGUGGUUUUAAUCUCAAAAGAUCUAAGGCGAAGAAUCAAGAGCUGACUGGCCUUUGACCUGAGGAACUGGAGGCGUUUACAACUUCAGUGUGCAAGAUUCAUUCUUCCUCUCGUCAGCCUAAGAAGGAGUUCCUGAAACACUGAGUAGGAGAUCCACCGAUCAGACAGAGGGAUUUAUGUUGAUCAUUGUUAUAUUCAGAGUCUAUAUCCAACUGCCGCUUGUAAUCUU